UUGAGGAAAUGAUUUCGACAUUGGCUCAGAGAUGGUGCCACGAAUUCAUUUUCGCGCGCACAGAUGUUUUACGUCAUUGCCGGAUGAUGGAGCUGGAGGAUCUAUCAGUCAGAGCGCGCUCAUACUUCGUAUUUAAAAAGUAAAGAAGAAGUGUAGUGAACAAGUGAUUUAAUACAUCAGCUACCAGAAAAGUGAUAUAUGUGGUGGCGUAAAUUUUGCGAGUUCUCAUCGAGAAAUAUCGGACGUGUUUCGACUCUCUGUAGAAAUCUGGAUUUGCGGCUCAUGAUUUCCAUCAGAAUCUGGACUGGCGGCUGACCACAUUUGCGGUAUUACUACUUGCCGAAAACACGGAUUCUCCGGACCUUGAAUACCCGUUACCAAGAAGAUACGUGCAUUAUGUAGCCAGCGAAAUAUAUCAUCUGAGGCAUUACACAGGACCAUCAGGUGUAAUUUCUGGCAUCACCGGAGAGCUUCUUCCCGCACCUUCACAACGCACUAUCAAGGGAGAAAGGCGCUUUGUUCAUGCAGCACGUCGAGGAGACCAAGUUUUGCAGUAAGAACAUCCAGCGAGAAUUGUCAUCACUUCCUCAACAGUUUGCAAGUAGCUGGCAAACAUUGGCGGAUGCCUCGACUCGCGCAUACUUUGCCAGCAUUUCUUUUCACUACGUGGGAAUCGAUUGUCUGAGACGUUUUCUGAGAUGUUACGUUUCGAACGUCUUAUCCGGCAGAGGAAGAUGUCUAUAUGGGAAAACUGCGUUUCUCAGCAUCCGAGAGAACAGACUGACAGGGUGACUCGGCUGAUUCGAGUAAGGAUGCAGGCAGGGCAGGCAGACAGAGAUAGGAGACGGAAGAUCCAGGGGAGCAACUUAAACAGCGGCUAAAGCAAGAAGUAGCAAGUCAUAAUUGAGUCGGGCAAGUAUGGCGAGGUAUCUAUGUCUAUGUAGGUGGAAAGCACCGCUGCCGACAUACCUGACCAGAAUUCGAAAACAGGAAGGGUAACUCUCCGGGUAGGUCUCCGGGUCUCAAGAUGGCUUCCCUUAGUUCACCGUUCAUCGAAUGGAAUCCAGAUGUUUCCCGGCAUAUUAAUGCUGCACAAGCAAAUACAGCAGCUUAACUUUGCGGCGAGAGAGAUAAAGAUAAUUUGAAACUGGAUAAUUUGACAUUUGAAACAAAAAAUCGAUUUUUUAAAUUAAUUCAGGGACAUUUCAACGCUAUUAUAAGUUUCAA
Camponotus floridanus (Florida carpenter ant) is the source of this 1227-nucleotide long non-coding RNA. RefSeq lists it as uncharacterized. The transcript is spliced from 4 exons. NCBI's taxonomy places the organism in Eukaryota, Metazoa, Arthropoda, Insecta, Hymenoptera, Formicidae. The record is from RefSeq and is a predicted model, not a curated record.